This 404-nucleotide ribosomal RNA is filed under the name Verrucomicrobiota bacterium. RNAcentral describes it as "Verrucomicrobia bacterium partial 16S ribosomal RNA". It matches the Rfam family "Bacterial small subunit ribosomal RNA", at positions 355 to 776 of the family's 1533-position model. Lineage: Bacteria; Pseudomonadati; Verrucomicrobiota. The record is from RNAcentral.
UGGGGAAUAUUGCACAAUGGGGGAAACCCUGAUGCAGCGACGCCGCGUGAGCGAAGAAGGUUUUCGAAUCGUAAAGCUCUGUCCUAUGGGAAGAUAAUGACGGUACCAUAGGAGGAAGCCCCGGCUAACUACGUGCCAGCAGCCGCGGUAAUACGUAGGUGGCAAGCGUUGUCCGGAAUUAUUGGGCGUAAAGCGCGCGCAGGUGGUUUAGAAAGUCUGAUGUGAAAGCCCACGGCUCAACCGUGGAGGGUCAUUGGAAACUAAUAAACUUGAGUGCAGGAGAGAAAAGUGGAAUUCCUAGUGUAGCGGUGAAAUGCGUAGAGAUUAGGAGGAACACCGGUGGCGAAAGCGGCUGUUUGGCCUGCAACUGACACUGAGGCGCGAAAGCGUGGGGAGCAAACAGG